This 446-nucleotide ribosomal RNA is filed under the name uncultured bacterium. RNAcentral describes it as "partial 16S ribosomal RNA". It matches the Rfam family "Bacterial small subunit ribosomal RNA", at positions 338 to 795 of the family's 1533-position model. The record is from RNAcentral.
CCUACGGGUGGCAGCAGUCGAGAAUCAUUCACAAUGGGGGAAACCCUGAUGGAGCGACGCCGCGUGGGGGAAUGAAGGUCUUCGGAUUGUAAACCCCUGUCAUGUGGGAGCAAAUUCAAAAGAUAGUCCCACAAGAGGAAGAGACGGCUAAAUCUGGUCCAGCAGCCGCGGUAAUACAGAGGUCUCAAGCGUUGUUCGGAAUCACUGGGCGUAAAGCGUGCGUAGGCGGUUACGUAAGUCGUGUGUGAAAGGCGCGGGCUCAACCCGCGGACGGCAGAUGAUACUGCGAGACUAGAGUAAGGGAGGGGGAACCGGAAUUCUCGGUGUAGCAGUGAAAUGCGUAGAUAUCGAGAGGAACACUCGUGGCGAAGGCGGGUUCCUGGACAUUAACUGACGCUGAGGCACGAAGGCCAGGGGAGCGAAAGGGAUUAGAUACCCCGGUAGUC